Molecule: ribosomal RNA, 380 nt
Filed under: uncultured eukaryote
Lineage: Eukaryota
Description: partial 18S ribosomal RNA
Rfam family: Eukaryotic small subunit ribosomal RNA
Source: RNAcentral
CAAUAGCGUAUAUUAAAGUUGUUGCAGUUAAAAAGCUCGUAGUUGGAUUUGUGGCGUACGGUGUGUUCCGGGCGCUUGUUGUCUGAGUAACCUGCUGUUGCCAUCCUUGGGUGGAACCUGUGUGGCAUUAGGUUGUCGUGCAGGGGAUGCCCAUCAUUUACUGUGAAAAAAUUAGAGUGUUCAAAGCAGGCUUAUGCCGUUGAAUAUAUUAGCAUGGAAUAAUGAGAUAGGACUUUUUUGCUAUUUUGUUGGUUUGCGCAAAGAGGUAAUGAUUAAUAGGGACAGUUGGGGGUAUUCGUAUUCCAUUGUCAGAGGUGAAAUUCUUGGAUUUUUGGAAGACGAACUACUGCGAAAGCAUUUACCAAGGAUGUUUUCAUUAA